This is a long non-coding RNA of Anguilla rostrata (American eel), 1965 nucleotides long. RefSeq lists it as uncharacterized. The transcript is spliced from 3 exons. Lineage: Eukaryota; Metazoa; Chordata; Actinopteri; Anguilliformes; Anguillidae. The record is from RefSeq and is a predicted model, not a curated record.
AAAGCUGGAACAAGAAGAAAAAAAGGGAAAAAAAAAAAAAGAGAGAAAGAAAUAGAACUCCGGUUGGAGAGAAAGAAAACAAGCAUGACAGGUGGGCCAGUCAUGCAGGCUGUGCUAAAAGAGACACGCCCCACCUGAAAGCGAUCUACCCCCCCCCCCCCCCCCAGCCCCCCCCUCAGUAUUUCAACAGGAACAGAUGCACAGGUACCACAACGGCCCACACGUUUACCAUUUAAACAAGAAGAAAUAAGGCUGGGCACCGUGGUGUGGACACGGCGGAUCAACUGUACAGAGUUGGAACGUAAAUCUGGAUUACCUGUAGAGUGGGUGUGGGUACGCUCUAUAGAAAGAGAAUAAAGGCGAGGAUAAGGUGGAUGAAUUGCACAGAACCAGAGAACCAGUAAAUGUGUGGGUAAGGUAAGCAAACUGCACAGACAAAUAAAGGCAUGGAUAAGGCAAGUAAGCUACAGGGCAGAAUAGAGGGGUGGAUAAAGCAAGUAAACUACAGACAGAAUAAAGCUGUGAAUAAGGUAAGUAUGCUACAGACCGAAUAAAGCUGUGAAUAAGGUAAGUAUACUACAGACAGAAUAAAGUUGCGAAUAAGGUAAGUAUACUACAGACAGAAUAAAGCUGUGAAUAAGGUAAAUAUACUACAGACACAAUAGAGGUGUGGAUAAGGCAAGUAAACUACAGACAGGAUAGAGGUGUGGAUACGGUAAGUAAAUUACUGACAGAAUAGAGAUGUGGAUAAGGCGAGUAAGCUACAGACAGAAUAAAAGUGUGGAUAAGGUAAGUAAACUACAGAGACAGAAUAGAGGGUUGGAUAAGACAAGUAAACUACAGACAGAAUAAAGCUGUGGAUAAGGUAAGUAAACUACAGAGACAGAUAAAGGUGAGUAUACUAUAAGUAAACUGUAUAGACAGAUAAAGGUGUGUACAAGGUAAGUAAACUACAAAGGCAGAAUAAAGGUCUGUAUGAGGUAAGUAAACUAUACUGAGGUACAAUAAAGUUGAGUAUAACGUAAGUAAAACUGUACCAAGACAAACUAAAGGUAUGAAUAAGAUAAAUAAACUGCACCGAGACACAAUAAAUGUCAGUAUAAGGUAAGUAAACUGUACCGAGACAGAAUAAAGGUGUGGAUAAGGAAAGCAAACUACAGAGACAGAUAAAGUUGCGUGAAAGGUAAGUAAACUGUAUAGAGACAGAAUAAAGGUGAGUAUAAGGUAAGUAAACUGAGCAGAAGCAGAAUAAAGGCAUUGAUAAGGUAAGUAAACUGUACAGAAGUAGAAUAAAGUGUGGAUAAGGUAAGUAAACUGUAAAGACAGAAUAAAUGGAUAAGGUAAGUAAAAUGUACAGAAUCAGAGUAAAGGCAUGGAUAAGGUAAGUAAGGUAAGUAAACUGUACAGAAUCAGAGUAAAGGCAUAGAUAAGUAAGGUAAGUAAACUGAAAAGACACAAUAAAUUGAUAAGGUAAGUAAACUGUACAGAAUCAGAGUAAAGGCAUAGAUAAGGUAAGUAAGGUAAGUAAACUGUAAGGACAGAAUAAAGGCAUGGAUAAGGUAAGUAAGGUAAGUAAACUAUAAAGUCAGAAUAAACGGAUAAGGUAAGUAAGGUAAGUAAACUGUAAAGACAGAAUAAAGGCAUGGAUAAGGUAAGUAAGGUAAGUAAACUGUAAAGUCAGAAUAAACGGAUAAGGUAAGUAAGGUAAGUAAACUGUAAAGUCAGAAUAAACGGAUAAGGUAAGUAAGGUAAGUAAACUGUAAAGACAGAAUAAAGGCAUGGAUAAGGUAAAUAAGGUAAGUAAACUGUAAGGACAGAAUAAAGGCAUGGAUAAGGUAAGUAAGGUAAGUAAACUGUAGAGUCAGAAUAAACGGAUAAGGUAAGUAAGGUAAGUAAACUGUAAGGACAGAGUAACGGGGCGGGCGGCGUGCAGUGGACAGUGCUGGCGGGACACUCACGGUGCAG